GAUGAAGAACGCAGCGAAAUGCGAUAAGUAAUGUGAAUUGCAGAAUUCAGUGAAUCAUCGAAUCUUUGAACGCACAUUGCGCCCGCCAGUAUUCUGGCGGGCAUGCCUGUUCGAGCGUCAUUACAACCCUCAGGCCCCCGGGCCUGGCGUUGGGGAUCGGCGGAGCCCCCCGUGGGCACACGCCGUCCCCCAAAUACAGUGGCGGUCCCGCCGCAGCUUCCAUCGCGUAGUAGCUAACACCUCGCGACUGGAGAGCGGCGCGGCCACGCCGUAAAACACCCAACUCUUCUGAAGUUGACCUCGAAUCAGGUAGGAAUACCCGCUGAACUUAAGCAUAUCAGUAAGCGGAGGA
Molecule: unclassified non-coding RNA, 352 nt
Filed under: soil metagenome
Description: partial contains 5.8S ribosomal RNA, internal transcribed spacer 2, and large subunit ribosomal RNA
Rfam family: 5.8S ribosomal RNA (bases 1-120)
Source: RNAcentral